UUUACCUUGUAGCAUUUACCUAUUAUUGAUUUUACUAUCAGUACUCACUGUUCACUAGAGUGUAUAGGUUUUCUUGUAUUCUGAUUGGUUUAUUAAGCCUUGCCCCCAGUUUUGGUGGUAGUUUUGAAAACAGUAAUGGAGGAUUGAUGUCUUUGUUGUGAUCCUGAUAUAUUCGAUUGUUUUGAUGCACUUUGUGCUCAUAGACUUUAUAUUGUGUUUGCUUAGUAGUUCCAUAAGUUCUAUGGAUUAGUAUAGUGAAGGAAUUCAUUCUGGAACAGGACAUCAUGACUUUAUAUGAACCAUAUUUGAUGUGAACCUCUGUUACCAUUACUGUAGAAGUAUGAAGAUCGUUACUGUUAGUAUUGUGUAGACUGUUGAUGUUAGUUAUUAAACUCAGUUCCACAGACUGGGUUUGUAAUAAUUAUAUGAUUACAUCAUUGUUGAAUAAAGAACCCUAGACUAAGAUGAAUUGGACUUGUUAUUAUUUGACUGUCCAGAAAUCACCUUUUACAUUGGCGCCC
Molecule: long non-coding RNA, 521 nt
Organism: Mytilus trossulus (common blue mussel)
Lineage: Eukaryota; Metazoa; Mollusca; Bivalvia; Mytilida; Mytilidae
Exons: 3
Source: RefSeq, a predicted model, not a curated record